This 830-nucleotide ribosomal RNA is filed under the name Escherichia coli. RNAcentral's name for it is "partial 23S ribosomal RNA". It matches the Rfam family "Bacterial large subunit ribosomal RNA", at positions 12 to 882 of the family's 2925-position model. Lineage: Bacteria; Pseudomonadati; Pseudomonadota; Gammaproteobacteria; Enterobacterales; Enterobacteriaceae. The record is from RNAcentral.
UAAGCGUACACGGUGGAUGCCCUGGCAGUCAGAGGCGAUGAAGGACGUGCUAAUCUGCGAUAAGCGUCGGUAAGGUGAUAUGAACCGUUAUAACCGGCGAUUUCCGAAUGGGGAAACCCAGUGUGAUUCGUCACACUAUCAUUAACUGAAUCCAUAGGUUAAUGAGGCGAACCGGGGGAACUGAAACAUCUAAGUACCCCGAGGAAAAGAAAUCAACCGAGAUUCCCCCAGUAGCGGCGAGCGAACGGGGAGGAGCCCAGAGCCUGAAUCAGUGUGUGUGUUAGUGGAAGCGUCUGGAAAGGCGCGCGAUACAGGGUGACAGCCCCGUACACAAAAAUGCACAUGCUGUGAGCUCGAUGAGUAGGGCGGGACACGUGGUAUCCUGUCUGAAUAUGGGGGGACCAUCCUCCAAGGCUAAAUACUCCUGACUGACCGAUAGUGAACCAGUACCGUGAGGGAAAGGCGAAAAGAACCCCGGCGAGGGGAGUGAAAAAGAACCUGAAACCGUGUACGUACAAGCAGUGGGAGCACAGAGCAAUCUGUGUGACUGCGUACCUUUUGUAUAAUGGGUCAGCGACUUAUAUUCUGUAGCAAGGUUAACCGAAUAGGGGAGCCGAAGGGAAACCGAGUCUUAACUGGGCGUUAAGUUGCAGGGUAUAGACCCGAAACCCGGUGAUCUAGCCAUGGGCAGGUUGAAGGUUGGGUAACACUAACUGGAGGACCGAACCGACUAAUGUUGAAAAAUUAGCGGAUGACUUGUGGCUGGGGGUGAAAGGCCAAUCAAACCGGGAGAUAGCUGGUUCUCCCCGAAAGCUAUUUAGGUAGCGCCU